AGCGAGGAAGCCGAAAAUCGCAUCAAAGAGUAGGCA
This 36-nucleotide non-coding RNA is filed under the name unclassified sequences. RNAcentral's name for it is "DUF805b RNA". It matches the Rfam family "DUF805b RNA". Rfam says of the family: Bacteroidetes, Chlorobi (1 example), Proteobacteria. Lineage (Flavobacteria) The record is from RNAcentral.